AGGCAAUGAGUAGGGAAUAUUUUCCUCAUGAUAAACCAUUUUACAAAUGGAGUUGUACACAUCUGUUAUUUGUUGUGCUAAAUUCUUUAUUGCUAUGGAGUUAUUUUCCAGUAAUUGUCAGAACAUCAAUACAUCAAGGACACUUGGAUAUUGUCCCAAGCAAAACACAUCAUGUUGUACUAGCUACUUUGAAGUAAAUGGUGUUUGCGAAGUAUGUCCCCCGGGGUCCUAUGGAGUAAACUGCUCCGAGGAGUGUCCUAAAGGCUUUUAUGGUCAUUUUUGUGAGGAAAAUUGUACAUGUACAGAUAUCUGUGAUAAGCAAUAUGGCUGUGUGGAAACAACUAG
Long non-coding RNA from Saccostrea cuccullata (small rock oyster), 345 nucleotides. RefSeq lists it as uncharacterized. The transcript has 3 exons. The record is from RefSeq and is a predicted model, not a curated record. Lineage: Eukaryota; Metazoa; Mollusca; Bivalvia; Ostreida; Ostreidae.